AGAGUUUGAUCCUGGCUCAGGAUGAACGCUAGCGGCAGGCUUAAUACAUGCAAGUCGAGGGGCAACAGGGGUAGUGAUACCUGCUGGCGACCGGCAAACGGGUGCGCAACACGUACAGAACCUUCCUUUAAGCGGGGGGAUAGCCCAUAGAAAUGUGGAUUAAUACCCCAUGGUAUUAUUGUCUGGCAUCAGGUAAUAAUUAAAGAUUUAUCACUUAGAGAUGGCUGUGCGUCUGAUUAGGUAGUUGGUGAGGGUAACGGCCUACCGAGCCUUCGAUCAGUAACUGGUGUGAGAGCACGACCAGUCACACGGGCACUGAGACACGGGCCCGACUCCUACGGGAGGCAGCAGUAAGGAAUAUUGGUCAAUGGAGGCAACUCUGAACCAGCCAUGCCGCGUGAAGGAUGAAGGUCCUCUGGAUUGUAAACUUCUUUUAUGUGGGAAGAAAUGUCCGGAUUAUUCUGGAUUUGACGGUACCAUAGGAAUAAGCACCGGCUAACUCCGUGCCAGCAGCCGCGGUAAUACGGAGGGUGCGAGCGUUAUCCGGAUUCACUGGGUUUAAAGGGUGCGUAGGUGGGUUUGUAAGUCAGUGGUGAAAUCUCCGUGCUUAACAUGGAAACUGCCAUUGAUACUACAGGUCUUGAAUUUUCCGGAGGUUAGCGGAAUAUGUCAUGUAGCGGUGAAAUGCUUAGAUAUGACAUAGAACACCAAUUGCGAAGGCAGCUAACUACAGGGAUAUUGACACUGAGGCACGAAAGCGUGGGGAUCAAACAGGAUUAGAUACCCUAGUAGUCC
Molecule: ribosomal RNA, 795 nt
Filed under: uncultured bacterium
Lineage: Bacteria
Description: bacterial SSU rRNA
Rfam family: Bacterial small subunit ribosomal RNA
Source: RNAcentral